Molecule: long non-coding RNA, 1165 nt
Organism: Dermacentor silvarum
Lineage: Eukaryota; Metazoa; Arthropoda; Arachnida; Ixodida; Ixodidae
Exons: 3
Source: RefSeq, a predicted model, not a curated record
GUUAAACUGAGUCAUGAAAAAAAAAAUGAAUUGUUUUGUAAACAAACAUUUCUUUGCUAUGUGCUGCUGCGUGUCAAUAAUUUUACUGUGAUCAAAGGGUCCCCAUUAUCAAGACAUUCAUCAGUGACUUCUACUUUUUGCUCUGUUGCCACCCUGCAAUAAUGCAAACAUUGUUUUUGUGACUAUAUUUAGAUGCUCCAUGCAUGUCUAGACAAUUUGACAGCUUUAUAAAGCUGUGUGCCACUGCUAUAAGUUAACACAGAACUUAUUUUAUAGUGGCGAGGCUGUGACCCAUAACAGUGCCUACAUAACGGAGGAGCCACCAGACCCCUUGGCUAUGCCUGCCGUAGUGCAACGUAUAAUCUGGAUGGUCGGGUCAGGUACACCUAGGAAAUGUUGUAUACAUUGGCAACGAUAACUGGGGCCUGUUCCAGUGCCAUCGCCGGGAUUCCCUGUUCUGCAAAGAACUGACAUAACUGAUGUGGGGAGCCCUGGCGCUCGGUGUAGGAGUAUCACAGGGGCUCCUUGUCGAUGCUUGAAGGACGGCAAUGCUGUUGAGAAGCCGACAUUGAGCCCCGAUAAAUUGGAAGCUGUGGGUAGUUACCGCAUUAUUGACUUGGAAACCAGUGAGGUCUGGAUGCAAGUGAAGCUACCGAGGGAGGCAUGUGUGCAUCACUUGUGCUGCUGGCCAUCCUCUGCAAAAGUGAUGGCUGGCAGUCAGUGCUUGGAUGACUUUCUGUUACUCUACGCCUUGGGCUGUGUUGACUACUUCACACUUGCUGCCAUGUCUGCAAGCUUAGGCAAAAAGACCGGCUGGAUGCUUGGCAGGAGAUAGUAUCCAACCGCAGUGUUACUGUGUUGUGUUGUACAUUACAAAGUGAUGGAGGACAGUAUUUGUGCUGUUAUUAAGAAGUAUAAAUUGUGUUCUGCCAUUGAAAUAAGGGAACUCGACACAAAGCAAAAGAUUUCGAAGUCUGACCUACAUGGGAAAGCAAAAUAUAUUGUGUUAUAGUUGUAGCUGUUAGUAGAGUCUUAAUAUGCGAUAGAAGACCUUGGUGUUUAAUAGAAAAUAUAUUUAAGUGUGUUAUCAGUGUGUUAUCAGUGUUUAAGUUACUGUUAUGUGUCAUUUGUUUGCCAGGAUGAUGUAAGCAGACAGCAAAUAAAU